RNAcentral lists this ribosomal RNA (360 nucleotides) under uncultured bacterium. RNAcentral describes it as "bacterial SSU rRNA". It matches the Rfam family "Bacterial small subunit ribosomal RNA", at positions 956 to 1315 of the family's 1533-position model. The record is from RNAcentral.
GCAACGCGAAGAACCUUACCUGGCCUUGACAUGUACGGAACUUUCCAGAGAUGGAUUGGUGCUCGAAAGAGAACGGUAACACAGGUGCUGCAUGGCUGUCGUCAGCUCGUGUCGUGAGAUGUUGGGUUAAGUCCCGCAACGAGCGCAACCCUUGCCAUUAAUUGCCAUCAUUUAGUUGGGCACUUUAAUGGGACUGCCGGUGACAAACCGGAGGAAGGUGGGGAUGACGUCAAGUCCUCAUGGCCCUUAUGGCCAGGGCUUCACACGUAAUACAAUGGUCGGUACAGAGGGUUACCAACCCGCGAGGGGGAGUCAAUCUCAGAAAGCCGAUCGUAGUCCGGAUUGCAGUCUGCAACUCGA